AUGAACGCUGGCGGCGUGCCUCAUCCCUGCCAGUCGAGCGAACAGACGAGGAGCUUGCUCCUCUGACGUUAGCGGCGGACGGGUGAGUAACACGUGGAUAACCUACCUAUAAGACUGGGAUAACUUCGGGAAACCGGAGCUAAUACCGGAUAAUAUAUUGAACCGCAUGGUUCAAUAGUGAAAGACGGUUUUGCUGUCACUUAUAGAUGGAUCCGCGCCGCAUUAGCUAGUUGGUAAGGUAACGGCUUACCAAGGCAACGAUGCGUAGCCGACCUGAGAGGGUGAUCGGCCACACUGGAACUGAGACACGGUCCAGACUCCUACGGGAGGCAGCAGUAGGGAAUCUUCCGCAAUGGGCGAAAGCCUGACGGAGCAACGCCGCGUGAGUGAUGAAGGUCUGCGGAUCGUAAAACUCUGUUAUUAGGGAAGAACAAAUGUGUAAGUAACUAUGCACGUCUUGACGGUACCUAAUCAGAAAGCCACGGCUAACUACGU
RNAcentral lists this ribosomal RNA (495 nucleotides) under uncultured bacterium. RNAcentral describes it as "partial 16S ribosomal RNA". It matches the Rfam family "Bacterial small subunit ribosomal RNA", at positions 29 to 506 of the family's 1533-position model. The record is from RNAcentral.